Molecule: ribosomal RNA, 450 nt
Filed under: uncultured bacterium
Lineage: Bacteria
Description: partial 16S ribosomal RNA
Rfam family: Bacterial small subunit ribosomal RNA
Source: RNAcentral
GUGGGGAAUAUUGGACAAUGGGCGAAAGCCUGAUCCAGCCAUGCCGCGUGUGUGAAGAAGGUCUUCGGAUUGUAAAGCACUUUAAGUUGGGAGGAAGGGCAGUAAGUUAAUACCUUGCUGUUUUGACGUUACCGACAGAAUAAGCACCGGCUAACUUCGUGCCAGCAGCCGCGGUAAUACGAAGGGUGCAAGCGUUAAUCGGAAUUACUGGGCGUAAAGCGCGCGUAGGUGGUUUUGUAAGUUGGAGGUGAAAUCCCCGGGCUCAACCUGGGAACUGCCUCCAAAACUGCAUGACUAGAGGACGGUAGAGGGUAGUGGAAUUUCCUGUGUAGCGGUGAAAUGCGUAGAUAUAGGAAGGAACACCAGUGGCGAAGGCGACUACCUGGACUGAUACUGACACUGAGGUGCGAAAGCGUGGGGAGCAAACAGGAUUAGAAACCCCUGUAGUCC